This 1439-nucleotide ribosomal RNA is filed under the name Chromobacterium violaceum. RNAcentral describes it as "bacterial SSU rRNA". It matches the Rfam family "Bacterial small subunit ribosomal RNA". Lineage: Bacteria; Pseudomonadati; Pseudomonadota; Betaproteobacteria; Neisseriales; Chromobacteriaceae. The record is from RNAcentral.
GGCAUGCGGCUGCUUUAACAUGCAAGUCGAACGGUAACAGGAUGCUUGCACCGCUGACGAGUGGCGAACGGGUGAGUAAUGCAUCGGAAUGUACCGUGUAAUGGGGGAUAGCUCGGCGAAAGCCGGAUUAAUACCGCAUACGCCCUGAGGGGGAAAGUGGGGGACCGUAAGGCCUCACGUUAUACGAGCAGCCGAUGUCUGAUUAGCUAGUUGGUGGGGUAAAGGCUCACCAAGGCAACGAUCAGUAGCGGGUCUGAGAGGAUGAUCCGCCACACUGGGACUGAGACACGGCCCAGACUCCUACGGGAGGCAGCAGUGGGGAAUUUUGGACAAUGGGCGCAAGCCUGAUCCAGCCAUGCCGCGUGUCUGAAGAAGGCCUUUCGGGUUGUAAAGGACUUUUGUCCGGGAGCAAAUCCCAGUGGUUAAUACCUACUGGGGCUGAGAGUACCGGAAGAAUAAGCACCGGCUAACUACGUGCCAGCAGCCGCGGUAAUACGUAGGGUGCAAGCGUUAAUCGGAAUUACUGGGCGUAAAGCGUGCGCAGGCGGUUGUGCAAGUCUGAUGUGAAAGCCCCGGGCUUAACCUGGGAACGGCAUUGGAGACUGCACGACUAGAGUGCGUCAGAGGGGGGUAGAAUUCCGCGUGUAGCAGUGAAAUGCGUAGAGAUGCGGAGGAAUACCGAUGGCGAAGGCAGCCCCCUGGGAUGACACUGACGCUCAUGCACGAAAGCGUGGGGAGCAAACAGGAUUAGAUACCCCUGGUAGUCCACGCCCUAAACGAUGUCAACUAGCUGUUGGGGGUUUGAAUCCUUGGUAGCGAAGCUAACGCGAGAAGUUGACCGCCUGGGGAGUACGGCCGCAAGGUUAAAACUCAAAGGAAUUGACGGGGACCCGCACAAGCGGUGGAUGAUGUGGAUUAAUUCGAUGCAACGCGAAAAACCUUACCUGGUCUUGACAUGUAACGAACGCCGCAGAGAUGUGGUGGUGCCCGAAAGGGAGCGUUAACACAGGUGCUGCAUGGCUGUCGUCAGCUCGUGUCGUGAGAUGUUGGGUUAAGUCCCGCAACGAGCGCAACCCUUGCCAUUAGUUGCCAUCAUUAAGUUGGGCACUCUAAUGGGACUGCCGGUGACAAACCGGAGGAAGGUGGGGAUGACGUCAAGUCCUCAUGGCCCUUAUGACCAGGGCUUCACACGUCAUACAAUGGUCGGUACAGAGGGUCGCGAAGCCGCGAGGUGGAGCCAAUCUCAUAAAACCGAUCGUAGUCCGGAUCGCACUCUGCAACUCGAGUGCGUGAAGUCGGAAUCGCUAGUAAUCGCAGAUCAGCAUGCUGCGGUGAAUACGUUCCCGGGUCUUGUACACACCGCCCGUCACACCAUGGGAGUGAGUUUCACCAGAAGUGGGUAGGCUAACCGUAAGGAGGCCGCUACCACGUGAUGUGGC